AUAAGUUACCAACCAUUAAUAUAAUUUAUCAUUUUAAAUUCAUUGUAAAAGCAUUUAAUAAUAUUAAUCUUGUGCAUAUAAGUAUAAAAAAAAGGUAUGAACAUGUGAUACAAAAAUAUAAUUAAAUAUUUUCAUAGUUACACUGUCAAAUUUGGAAAUAUCCAUAACAAGACAACAAUGAAGACCACAAAAUGGAUUUUUAAUACACAAAAUCAAGAGAGAAAAGUUGAAACAGGAGAAAAGUUCAAAAAAAUAAAACAAACCACUGUGAGAAAUGCUAAAGUAACAUUCAAGAUAUGCAGAAUAUCCCACUUACAAAUCAUUACAAUAAUCCAGUCAAAUCAUGGCAAUCCACAACCCCACCAAACAAAACCAUGACUGUAUCAGUUAACAUGAUGUCCCCUACUUUGAAAACAAUGCUUUCACCUUUUUUGAGAUUCCCAGUUAUUAAUAUUACUAUUAUUAUUAUUUUUUUUCACCUGUUUACAUAAUCUACCUUAUUGUAAUUGAAGCUGAAUUACCAUUGAAAAUCAUGGUAGUUGAACCACAAUAAUUCUUAACUUGAGCCUAUACUUGAAACUUUGUUUUGAACUUCUUUAAUAAAUGAAUAUUAUUAUUAGUAUUAUUACAAACUAAUAAGAAAAGGAAGAAAGAGAGACUAAAACUGUGGUGGCGCAAAUGUGCACACUUCUCCAAUUAUUGAGACUUUUCAUGUGUCAGUCUUGAUUGAAGCUGUUCACAUCAUAUCAUCUGUUCACAAAUGUGGAAAUGGGGUACCAAACAUUGCCCAACAAACAAAAUAAGUUAUUGUACCUUCUUCCCACAUCCCAAAAGUCACCAAAGCCAAGCAAGCAUACACCCCCAUGGACACAUAUCAACCAACCCCUUUAUCCACACCAGGCUUCAUAGGUCCUCUACCCCACC
RNAcentral lists this long non-coding RNA (924 nucleotides) under Physcomitrium patens. RNAcentral describes it as "long non-coding RNA (PPAT_LNC005413)". The record is from RNAcentral. Lineage: Eukaryota; Viridiplantae; Streptophyta; Bryopsida; Funariales; Funariaceae.